GCCACCGUAGCUCAAUGGCAGAGCAGCGGUUUUGUAAACCGCAGGUUGACGGUUCGAAUCCGUCCGGUGGCU
Molecule: transfer RNA, 72 nt
Filed under: Planctomycetota bacterium
Lineage: Bacteria; Pseudomonadati; Planctomycetota
Also listed under: 1 other name
Description: tRNA-Thr
Rfam family: tRNA
About the family: Transfer RNA (tRNA) molecules are approximately 80 nucleotides in length. Their secondary structure includes four short double-helical elements and three loops (D, anti-codon, and T loops).
Source: RNAcentral